AAGGAAUAUUGGACAAUGGGCGAAAGCCUGAUCCAGCAAUGCCGCGUGAGCGAUGAAGGCCUUAGGGUUGUAAAGCUCUUUUACCCGGGAUGAUAAUGACAGUACCGGGAGAAUAAGCCCCGGCUAACUCCGUG
RNAcentral lists this ribosomal RNA (134 nucleotides) under Sphingomonas sp. 70m. RNAcentral describes it as "partial 16S ribosomal RNA". It matches the Rfam family "Bacterial small subunit ribosomal RNA", at positions 356 to 507 of the family's 1533-position model. Lineage: Bacteria; Pseudomonadati; Pseudomonadota; Alphaproteobacteria; Sphingomonadales; Sphingomonadaceae. The record is from RNAcentral.